Molecule: ribosomal RNA, 116 nt
Organism: Marinospirillum alkaliphilum DSM 21637
Lineage: Bacteria; Pseudomonadati; Pseudomonadota; Gammaproteobacteria; Oceanospirillales; Oceanospirillaceae
Source: Rfam
CCUGACGACCAUAGCGUCCGGGAACCACCUGAUCCCAUGCCGAACUCAGAAGUGAAACCGAUCAGCGCCGAUGAUAGUGUGGGGCCUCCCCAUGUGAAAGUAGGUCAUCGUCAGGC